UCGAGGGGCAGCGGGGGAGUAGCAAUACUCCCGCCGGCGACCGGCGCACGGGUGAGUAACACGUAUGAAACCUGCCCGUAGCAGGGGGAUAAGCGGAAGAAAUUCCGUCUAAUACCGCGUAACAACCCAUGGAGGCAUCUCUGUGGGUUUAAAGGAAGCGAUUCCGGCUACGGAUGGUCAUGCGUCGCAUUAGCUUGUUGGCGGGGUAACGGCCCACCAAGGCGACGAUGCGUAGGGGUUCUGAGAGGAAGGUCCCCCACACUGGUACUGAGACACGGACCAGACUCCUACGGGAGGCAGCAGUGAGGAAUAUUGGUCAAUGGCCGCAGGGCUGAACCAGCCAAGUCGCGUGAGGGAUGACGGUCCUAUGGAUUGUAAACCUCUUUUGUCAGGGAGCAAAGGGCGCCACGUGUGGCGCUUUGCGAGUACCUGAAGAAAAAGCAUCGGCUAACUCCGUGCCAGCAGCCGCGGUAAUACGGAGGAUGCGAGCGUUAUCCGGAUUUAUUGGGUUUAAAGGGUGCGCAGGCGGAAUGUCAAGUCAGCGGUAAAAUUUCGGGGCUCAACCCCGUCGUGCCGUUGAAACUGGCGUUCUUGAGUGAGCGAGAAGUAUGCGGAAUGCGUGGUGUAGCGGUGAAAUGCAUAGAUAUCACGCAGAACUCCGAUUGCGAAGGCAGCAUACCGGCGCUCAACUGACGCUCAUGCACGAAAGCGUGGGUAUCGAACAGGAUUAGAUACCCUGGUAGUCCACGCAGUAAACGAUGAAUACUAACUGUCCGGGCAGAAUGAUGCCUGGGUGGUACAGCGAAAGCGUUAAGUAUUCCACCUGGGGAGUACGCCGGCAACGGUGAAACUCAAAGGAAUUGACGGGGGCCCGCACAAGCGGAGGAACAUGUGGUUUAA
RNAcentral lists this ribosomal RNA (900 nucleotides) under uncultured bacterium. Its description in RNAcentral is "bacterial SSU rRNA". It matches the Rfam family "Bacterial small subunit ribosomal RNA", at positions 62 to 949 of the family's 1533-position model. The record is from RNAcentral.